Molecule: small RNA, 70 nt
Filed under: Pedobacter sp. SG908
Lineage: Bacteria; Pseudomonadati; Bacteroidota; Sphingobacteriia; Sphingobacteriales; Sphingobacteriaceae
Also listed under: 1 other name
Description: Flavo-1 RNA
Rfam family: Flavo-1 RNA
Source: RNAcentral
AACUAAACCUGAUAGUAAUGAAAAGCUCCCGAUUUUUCAUCGGGACUUGUAAUGGAUAGCGGGACUGAAA